This is a long non-coding RNA of Mastomys coucha (southern multimammate mouse), 717 nucleotides long. RefSeq lists it as uncharacterized. Lineage: Eukaryota; Metazoa; Chordata; Mammalia; Rodentia; Muridae. The record is from RefSeq and is a predicted model, not a curated record. The transcript has 2 exons.
CUUUAACAGACAAGGAGAUGGAACAAAAGGAUUCUCUUGAGAACAGACCAACCCUGGAGACCACGUGAGAUAUGGCUGGCUUCCUGCCUGCUCUAGAACUAGGGGCUGCUGCGUCCUAAGGCAACCCUCUGGAUAUUCACCAGGAGUGUUCCAGCCAGACUGUCACCCAGAAGCAGCAGGAGGGCUCCCCAACCUGCUGUCUGUCCCAAUGGUGUCCUGCAAAGGGAACCAACAAAAUCUGCUGAGUCAUUGCUGAAGGUUGCCACGGGGACAGAUGGACGGGUGCUGAUGAGAUUGACAGUGAUGGCUGGGUUCAAGUCCCAGCCUAGCCAUGACCUUGAUGACUGACCUUGACCUGGGCCUCACCUCUCCAGGCCUCAGUUUACCUUUCUGUCCCAUGAAGAUUGAUAUAAGCCGGCUCUUCAUUCUUCCACCACUCUGGAAAUCUCAACUUCCCAAAUGGGAAUAUUAAAGGUGGGCGGGGCAGAGGAGGUGCAGGAAGGAUGUGGAACAAGAUGGAGCAUUCCAGGAUGAACGGAGAUUUCCCAAAUGCAGCACGGGUGUUCUGCUGUGUGAGGAGCAAGGAAUGCUUUUGUUUUGUUUUAAUUGGAAUGGUUUUGCAGAAUUGUUUAGAUUCUAUUUUGAUUUGGGGCAUAAGUGGGCUCUGCCCCGCUUAUGGGAUCCUCUGCAAAACAAAGAAGAAACUGUCUCCAGAGA